GGGGACCCGCACAAGCGGUUGGAUGAUGUGGAUUAAUUCGAUGCAACGCGAAGAACCUUACCUACCCUUGACAUGUCCGGAACUUGCCAGAGAUGGCUUGGUGCCCGAAAGGGAAUCGGAACACAGGUGCUGCAUGGCUGUCGUCAGCUCGUGUCGUGAGAUGUUGGGUUAAGUCCCGCAACGAGCGCAACCCUUAUCAUUAGUUGCUACGCAAGGGCACUCUAAUGAGACUGCCGGUGACAAACCGGAGGAAGUGGGGAUGACGUCAAGUCCUCAUGGCCCUUAUGGGUAGGGCUUCACACGUCAUACAAUGGUCGGUACAGAGGGUUGCCAAGCCGCGAGGCGGAGCCAAUCCCACAAAGCCGAUCGUAGUCCGGAUUGUUCUCUGCAACUCGAGAGCAUGAAGUCGGGAUCGCUAGUAAUCGCAGGUCAGCAUACUGCGGUGAAUACGUUCCCGGGUCUU
This 463-nucleotide ribosomal RNA is filed under the name uncultured Thiobacillus sp. Its description in RNAcentral is "bacterial SSU rRNA". It matches the Rfam family "Bacterial small subunit ribosomal RNA", at positions 915 to 1382 of the family's 1533-position model. Lineage: Bacteria; Pseudomonadati; Pseudomonadota; Betaproteobacteria; Nitrosomonadales; Thiobacillaceae. The record is from RNAcentral.